ACCCGCCACCCGCCGGCCCUUCCGCCUCACUCAGCGGCGCCACUGAGAGGGACGGGCGCCGGCCAUGGAGCGCACAGCAGGCAAAGAGCUGGCCCUGGCACCGCUGCAGGACUGGGGUGAAGAGACCGAGGACGGCGCGGUGUACAGUGUCUCCCUGCGGCGGCAGCGCAGUCAGCGCAGGAUCCCGGCGGAGGGCCCCGGGGGCAGCCAGGCCCCCAGCCCCAUUGCCAAUACCUUCCUCCACUAUCGAACCAGCAAGGUGAGGGUGCUGAGGGCGGCACGCCUGGAGCGGCUGGUGGGAGAGUUGGUGUCUGGAGACCGUGAGCAGGACCCCAGCUUCGUGCCCGCCUUCCUGGCCACCUACCGGACCUUUGUACCCACUGCCCGCCUGCUGGGCUUUCUGCUGCCACCAGUGCCGCCGCCCCCACCUCCCGGGGUAGAGAUCAAGAAGACAGCAGUACAAGAUCUGAGCUUCAACAAGAACCUGAGGGCUGUGGUGUCAGUGCUGGGCUCCUGGCUGCAGGACCACCCUCAGGAUUUCCGAGACCCCCCUGCCCACUCGGACCUGGGCAGUGUCCGAACCUUUCUGGGCUGGGCGGCCCCAGGGAGUGCUGAGGCUCAAAAAGCAGAGAAGCUUCUGGAAGAUUUUUUGGAGGAGGCUGAGCGAGAGCAGGAAGAGGAGCCGCCUCAGGUGUGGACAGGACCUCCCAGAGUUGCCCAAACUUCUGACCCAGACUCUUCAGAGGCCUGCGCGGAGGAAGAGGAAGGGCUCAUGCCUCAAGGUCCCCAGCUCCUGGACUUCAGCGUGGACGAGGUGGCCGAGCAGCUGACCCUCAUGGACUUGGAGCUCUUCUCCAAGGUGAGGCCCUACGAGUGCUUGGGCUCCGUGUGGUCGCAGAGGGACCGGCCGGGGGCUGCAGGCGCCUCCCCCACUGUGCGCGCCACCGUGGCCCAGUUCAACACCGUGACCAGCUGUGUGCUGGGUUCCGUGCUCGGAGCACCGGGCUUGGCCGCCCCGCAGAGGGCGCAGCGGCUGGAGAAGUGGAUCCGCAUCGCCCAGCGCUGCCGAGAACUGCGGAACUUCUCCUCCUUGCGCGCCAUUCUGUCCGCCCUGCAAUCUAACCCCAUCUACCGGCUCAAGCGCAGCUGGGGGGCCGUGAGCCGGGAACCGCUAUCUACUUUCAGGAAACUUUCGCAGAUUUUCUCCGAUGAGAACAACCACCUCAGCAGCAGAGAGAUUCUUUUCCAGGAGGAGGCCACUGAGGGAUCCCAAGAAGAGGACAACACCCCAGGCAGCCUGCCCUCAAAACCACCCCCAGGCCCUGUCCCCUACCUUGGCACCUUCCUUACGGACCUGGUUAUGCUGGACACAGCCCUGCCGGAUAUGUUGGAGGGGGAUCUCAUUAACUUUGAGAAGAGGAGGAAGGAGUGGGAGAUCCUGGCCCGCAUCCAGCAGCUGCAGAGGCGCUGUCAGAGCUACACCCUGAGCCCCCACCCGCCCAUCCUGGCUGCCCUGCAUGCCCAGCACCAGCUCACCGAGGAGCAGAGCUACCGGCUCUCCCGGGUCAUUGAGCCACCAGCUGCCUCCUGCCCCAGCUCCCCACGCAUCCGACGGCGGAUCAGCCUCACCAAGCGUCUCAGUGCGAAGCUUUCCCGAGAGAAAAGCUCAUCACCUAGUGGGAGUCCCGGGGACCCCUCAUCCCCCACCUCCAGUGUGUCCCCAGGGUCACCCCCCUCAAGUCCUAGAAGCAGAGAUGCUCCUGCUGGCAGUCCCCCGGCCUCUCCAGGGCCCCAGGGCCCCAGCACCAAGCUGCCCCUGAGCCUGGACCUGCCCAGCCCCCGGCCCUUCGCUUUGCCUCUGGGCAGCCCUCGAAUCCCCCUCCCGGCGCAGCAGAGCUCGGAGGCCCGUGUCAUCCGCGUCAGCAUCGACAAUGACCACGGGAACCUGUAUCGAAGCAUCUUGCUGACCAGUCAGGACAAAGCCCCCAGCGUGGUCCGGCGAGCCUUGCAGAAGCACAAUGUGCCCCAGCCCUGGGCCUGUGACUAUCAGCUCUUUCAAGUCCUUCCUGGGGACCGGGGUUGCCUUGUCUCUAUGGUGAGGGGGAGAAUAUUAGGAGGUUGCCCAGGCUUAUGAUAAGGGAAGGCAUGAGGUGGUGCAAGUUUUCAAGUGAGAAGUCGUCCAGGUUCCCAGUGACAGCAGAAUGAGCUUGGCUUGGCAGUAGCUGCAGAGGGACCCAUGGCUGUUCAGGUUCGCGGUGCUCCUGAUUCCUGACAAUGCCAACGUCUUCUAUGCCAUGAGUCCAGUCGCCCCCGGAGACUUCAUGCUGCGGCGGAAAGAGGGGACCCGGAACACUCUGUCUGUCUCCCCAAGCUGAGGCAGCUCUGUCCUCUCCACAAGACACAAGUCCCACAGGCAAGCUUACGACUCCUCUCCUGGAAAGCUGCCAUCCCCCAGUAGAGGCCACUGUGCUGUGUAUCCCAGGACCACCACCCAACUGUAGCCCAUUGGACCCCAUCUCUUUUUCUGACUCUGUUGGUACUAGAUCCAUAUUCCAAAGACAUCAGCCCAUGGGUGGCUGGUGGAGAGCUCAAUCCCAUAAAUGUAGAAAGAGGUGGGGCAUGGAUACGUCAGAUCCCCAUGGAUACGUCAGAUCCCUCCCCAGAGAAAUCUUAUAAAUGUUAGAGACGCAUCAGAAGUGACAGAUGCGGAUGAAAAUAGUGAACAGAGUUAUGAAA
Pan troglodytes (chimpanzee) is the source of this 2736-nucleotide RNA transcript. It is a transcript of the gene named ral guanine nucleotide dissociation stimulator like 3, with no coding region annotated. The transcript has 20 exons. The record is from RefSeq and is a predicted model, not a curated record. NCBI's taxonomy places the organism in Eukaryota, Metazoa, Chordata, Mammalia, Primates, Hominidae.